RNAcentral lists this transfer RNA (71 nucleotides) under Candidatus Kerfeldbacteria bacterium CG08_land_8_20_14_0_20_42_7. RNAcentral describes it as "tRNA-Gln". It matches the Rfam family "tRNA". Rfam says of the family: Transfer RNA (tRNA) molecules are approximately 80 nucleotides in length. The record is from RNAcentral. Lineage: Bacteria; Candidatus Kerfeldiibacteriota.
UCCGAGAUCGUCUAAUGGUAGGACGCCAGGUUCUGGCCCUGGUAAUCCUGGUUCGAGCCCAGGUCUCGGAG